AACGAACGCUGGCGGCAUGCCUAACACAUGCAAGUCGAACGAGACCUUCGGGUCUAGUGGCGCACGGGUGCGUAACGCGUGGGAACCUGCCCUUAGGUUCGGAAUAACUCCCCGAAAGGGGUGCUAAUACCGGAUAAUGUCUUCGGCCCAAAGAUUUAUCGCCUUUGGAUGGGCCCGCGUUGGAUUAGCUAGUUGUUAGGGUAAAAGCCUACCAAGGCGACGAUCCAUAGCUGGUCUGAGAGGCUGAUCAGCCACACUUGGACUGAGACACGGCCCAGACUCCUACGGGAGGCAGCAGUGGGGAAUAUUGGACAAUGGGCGAAAGCCUGAUCCAGCAAUGCCGCGUGAGUGAUGAAGGCCUUAGGGUUGUAAAGCUCUUUUACCCGGGAUGAUAAUGACAGUACCGGGAGAAUAAGCCCCGGCUAACUCCGUG
Molecule: ribosomal RNA, 433 nt
Filed under: uncultured bacterium
Lineage: Bacteria
Description: partial 16S ribosomal RNA
Rfam family: Bacterial small subunit ribosomal RNA
Source: RNAcentral